This 1314-nucleotide ribosomal RNA is filed under the name Triticum aestivum (bread wheat). RNAcentral describes it as "partial small subunit ribosomal RNA". The record is from RNAcentral. Lineage: Eukaryota; Viridiplantae; Streptophyta; Magnoliopsida; Poales; Poaceae.
GCAGCCACGAUUCUUUGGUUGGUCGGUGGUUAAGAGGUUAUGUUUUGUUGGGUAAAGGUGAAGGUAAGCGUAGGAGGAGCGAAGGGGUCUAGGUUUAGCGCGCGCUCUCUCGUUUCCCUCCUUCUUUCUCUAGAGCGGGUCGCGGUGGGGCUUAGGCGGUACCGGAGCCGGCGCGGCGGGGAGGAGGGGUGGUGGCAGGGCCGGCGGCGCGGGCGCUGGCAGGAGGGGCGGCGGGGCCUGCGGCGGCGGCGGUUGAGGUAGCGGAGGGGCCUGGGCCGGCGGUGCGCGCGGAAGGAGCCGGCGGAGAUGCUGAGGCGGUUCGCGAGGGAGAGCCCGCGGGCGGGGACCGGGCUCGAGGACCUGGCGCGGCGCGAGAGCGCGGGCCUAAGGGAGAGGCUGCGGUGGCGGGCGGAGGCGUUCUUGGAGCGGAUGAAGGCGCAGUUGAUGCGGCGCGAGCAGCGCGAGAGGGAGCGCCAGAGGGAGGAGCGCGUGGGGAAGAGGGAGCGGCGGGAGGAGCGCGAGGAGCGGCGGACCACGAAGGAGAUGGAGGAGGCGGGGCGGCUGCGGCGGGGCGAGUUGCGGAAGCCGGCGUGGAAGAGGCUGUCCCUCUGCGAGCCCCCGGAGUAGCGGCGGAGGCAGAAGCAGCAGAAGGAGUGCAGACAGCCACCCUAGUAGAAGAGGCGCGACCGCGAGCCGCGGCGGCAGCAGACGCGCGUGCCACGGAAGGCGCACGGACUCCUAGACAAGGAGCUGCUCCACGGGCUGGUCCCGGAGCAUCCUUUGCCGCGGUGGUAGUUGGAGGAGAGGAAGUAGUUGCCGCGACGGCCUCCUCCUCCUGCGCAGACUCGGUCGGAGGACAGGAGUCGAGAGACUAGACGAUGAGCCUUGUCUGUUCAUUUCAGUCACCGACCAACUAAGCAAAAAGGUCUUUGCUUCAUGAAGAUGAACAAAUAAUUCUAGUAUGAUGCGCAACGGAAAUUCUUGCACUCCUCCUCUAAUCUUCUCCUACGUAACCUCAAUAUGAUGUGUGUCCUAUAUGUGUUUUCUUCCUUGGAACCCUAGAUCAAAACAAAGUAAAACGUAAACUAUAACGACAUACUACUGUUUCAACUCGAAUAAUCAUAACUAUAAGUAUACUAUACACAGAACCACAAUGAUCGUAUGUCCUGUUUUAUUUAACGACGAGGAGCAGAAUUGUAUUUUUACUUUAUAUACUACUAAUUCAUGUGGUAAAGAAAAGUUCUCUAGCUAGUUACACUAAAGCGUAUACUAGAACUAAGACCGCACCUCCUAGAACCCAGAUCCACUAAGUAA